AAGUCGUAACAAGGUUUCCGUAGGUGAACCUGCGGAAGGAUCAUUAACACUUUUUCAAAAAGGUUUUUCUUUUAAGAAAAACUUAUUCUACCCACCUUUUGGAUGAACUUUUUUUGAUGGAGAUAUGGCAACAUUUUUGUUGUUAUUUUCUUUAUCAUUUUUUUCAUUAUUUCAAACUUUUUAACCCCAAAAAACCAAUUUAUUUACAAAUUGCUAUAUCUUGAAAAAGCCUAACAUGUGUGUGGGUUUGUGCUGUGUGAUCAAUGCAAGUUGAUCACCACCAACUAAAACUUAUCACUCAAGAAAUCCUAAAAACUAAGAAAACAACUCUUAACAACGGAUAUCUUGGCUCUC
Molecule: unclassified non-coding RNA, 354 nt
Filed under: fungal sp.
Lineage: Eukaryota; Fungi
Description: partial internal transcribed spacer region
Rfam family: Eukaryotic small subunit ribosomal RNA (bases 1-46)
Source: RNAcentral